Molecule: non-coding RNA, 2502 nt
Organism: Taeniopygia guttata (zebra finch)
Lineage: Eukaryota; Metazoa; Chordata; Aves; Passeriformes; Estrildidae
Source: RefSeq, a predicted model, not a curated record
CUGCACUUGCUACGUCAUCGAAAAUGUGAAGUAAUGAACACAGCAUCCAGUUUGGUCGGUAGCAGUGGCAACUUUUAUCUCCAAAUUGCGUUUUCAGGUGGCAUGGAAGACGCAACAGACAUCCAGCCACAGCUCUCAAGAAAUACCUCGCUACCUCCAUUUUACUGAAACAGAGGAAUUCAAGGAACUCCAUCACCAAAAGGCAAAAUAAAUGCUCAACAACAGAACAAGCACCUCUUCCAUCUCCAAUUGGUCAGGACACCAUGAACUCACGCCUGGGCAGAAACACCAGUUCUGAUGACACACUUGCAUCAACAUCCCAAGGGCCUCUGAGGUAAAAAGGUACUGUGGCACCAAAUUCAAUGGAUUGAAAACAUCCCUCCAUAAGGCAUGGAGUGGAGUAAUGAAGCCAAGGUUAGAUUUGGGAAGGGCAUCUGAGGACAGAGAGCAUGAGUUUUACAAAUCCAUAUUUUGAAGAGGGAAUGGACAAAAUAUGAAUACAGUGGGGGGGACAGCAAGUAAGGAAUUUGUCUCUGCAAUACCCUCCCUUUGACUGCCAGGAAACACUGUCCAAAGAGGCUUCUGUGGUACAAACAAUAACUAGAUGGGAAGAGGCACUCCUGAAUUCAAGCCCAAAUGCCACAAUAGGAAACAGCACCUGAGCACUGCAGUGAUGAAGCACCUUGCCUGCAAACUCACCAGAGGCAAGCCACUUCUGCCACCCUGCAGGGCUACCUGCAGUACAGAGGGAAUCAUGGCGAAGACUUCCCUGCAGGCCUGGAUAAACCACACAAGGAACCCACAACUUCCUCACAGCUCUCCAACUCAUUCAAGAAAUAAAACUACAGCAAGUAGAGAUCCCCCACCAUCUUUUUCAUGUGUGUGUGUCACACACCCACAGUGAUGCUGAAGGUAACAAAUUAACAGCUUACAUUAGAAGAUACUGAAACCUUUUCUUCAUCUAGCUUUGCAGGUUCUCUUUUAUAUAUGUAGUCACCUCCAAUUCUGAGUCAAAAAAUGAGCCCUAUUUUUCAGAAGUGCUAUGCAUGCACAACUCUAGCUGCUGUUCCAGGUGCACUGCAAGGAAUCAGCACUUCCAGAAAAACUAACAAACAAACAAAACAAAAACCAAGAAAGCAAAACACAUUUGGGUACAUGAAAAAGGACUGGCUGGAAGGAAAAAUGUUUCUCAUUGACCUACCAAGCAGCUGGUGUUACCUUUAGUUUAACUUUACACACUGAGAACUACCUGAUUGAACAGCCUUGCAUCAACUCAAAUUAAAAGCAGGUUUUGCUAUGUCACAGCUGUAAGGUAGUUUUUCAAUCUUAGGGUACAAUGAGUUACGUAUUUCAAGAUGAAAAAUCACACCUUCAAGUGCAAGAUAAUGCAAUUUGGAAGAAAUAAUUUAAACUAUUUGUACAGAGGAAAGGGGAAAGAAUUAGCUGAAUCAACAGCUCAAUGAAGACAUCUGCUCAGCAUGAAGCAUCCUCCCCUAUUUCAUUCCCCAGCCCAAACUUCCUUGUUAAUUUUUUCUUCAUCCUCUUGGCCUAAUUUUAAAACUCUAGCUGUCAUCUUCCCAUCUUCUGGGAUAACCUCUAUUUCUAAUUUCACUUGUAAAUCUCCUACCAAUAAGUUGCUACUCUCUCCUGGGACCAAUGAGACAUCCUCCAUCCAAAAUCUAGUUUCUCCCUCAAUUACCACAUUUUUAAUGACAGGAACUGUGAACUCUCUCUUUUGCUUCUGUUACAGUAGCUUUGCUCACACUAUAACCUUUUGGAAUAUUUAACAGACAGGUUCUUUCUGCCCCUGUGUCUACCACAAAUUCCAAUUCUUCUUCUUGGGGACCCGCUUUUAAAGUUAUCACAGGCUCCAGAUGAUAUUUGUCCCCUAAAAAAUAGAGCCUCUGACAUCCCUAUUCUUCCUCUGUGCUCAUCUCUUUGUAAAUUUUCAGAUCUUUUACCUGCUUAGGACAAUCUUUCCUAUAAUGUCCUUUGCCCCUGCAGUAAAAGCAGACAUUCCUGGAAUGCUCCUGAGACUUGGUUUGUAUUGAGGUUUUAUUCUUUCCUGUUCCCCUGUCUCUACAACCGUCAUAUCUAGUAGUGCCUGUGUGUUUUUUAUUUUUUUUGUAAUUGUUUUCUCGCAUGGUGACUGCCAUAAUUUUUGCUUUUACUUUAGCUUUUUCUUCAUCUCUCCAGACAUAAACUUUCUGAGCUUCCUUUAAUAAAUCAUCUAAUGAUUUAUCAUGCCAGUCUUCAAUUUUUUCUAUUUUUUUCCUAAUAUCUGGCCAGGCAUUAGUAACAAAGUUAAUCCUUAACAAAGCUUUUCCCACAUCAGUUUCAGGAUCUAUUCUGGAAUAUUGUUUUAUAUUUCUCCUAAGUCUGUCUAACCAUUCCGUUGGAGUUUCUUCUUUCCCCUGCUGUGCCUCAAAAGCCUUUUAGCAUUUUGCCCUCGAGGUGCUGCCCCUUUUAUUCCCUUGUAUAUUAAAUUACGAUACUCCAUAA